GUAUUACAGGAGAGGACACUAUGCUAAACUACUGAAAUAUUAAAGACACGUCAAGCAAUACAACAGUAUAGCAGUAAAGGACACUAUGAUAUGCUACUAAGAUAUUACAGACAGAACAAGGAAUACAACUUUAUAACAGGGAA
Amphimedon queenslandica is the source of this 143-nucleotide long non-coding RNA. RefSeq lists it as uncharacterized. The transcript has 3 exons. Lineage: Eukaryota; Metazoa; Porifera; Demospongiae; Haplosclerida; Niphatidae. The record is from RefSeq and is a predicted model, not a curated record.